This 657-nucleotide ribosomal RNA is filed under the name Triticum aestivum (bread wheat). RNAcentral's name for it is "partial small subunit ribosomal RNA". The record is from RNAcentral. Lineage: Eukaryota; Viridiplantae; Streptophyta; Magnoliopsida; Poales; Poaceae.
AUGGCGAACGGCGACGAGGACAUGGCCACCACGGGAUUGAUGAAGACAGAGGGGCUGAAGGUCCUAGCUGUGGACGAUGAUCCCGUCUGCCUCCAGACCUUGACGCAGAUGCUUCGGCGCGGCGGCUACGAAGUGACGGCCAGCGCCUCGCCUGUAGAUGCGCUGAAAGAGGUGGAGAAGAACCCGGAUGGGAUCGACUUCAUCAUGACCGUCGCACGGACGUGGGGACGAGGGAUGGACGGCUUCGGCCUUGUCAAGCGCGUCGGGAAACGUUACCCUGUCAUCCUUAUGUUCUCGGGCGACGAGACCAUGGAGACAAGGGAAAGGGGAUUGCAGGAAGGCGCUUGCUACUUGAUGGACAAGCCCCUACAUGACGUGCAGAUAUACUUCAUCUGGCAGCACGUCGUGCGGUGGAGGCGCAAAGCCGCCAGCGCAGCCACGGAGAACCCUAACCCUCGCCACAGCCAAGGCGUCCAUCUGGAUGACACGCCAAGGAAGAGAGGGCAAGGACUGAACGAUUCCAACAAGGGCAAGGGGGCUUCCGGGGGCGGCCUGCAGCUGGGGACCACAAAGAAGAAAAAGGUCGAGUGGACUACAGAGAUGCAUGAAUUGUUCGUCAAUGCAGUGACCCAGCUAAAGACAACAGGAGGUGCGUGA